This 75-nucleotide transfer RNA is filed under the name Candidatus Entotheonella gemina. RNAcentral describes it as "tRNA-Phe". It matches the Rfam family "tRNA". Rfam says of the family: Transfer RNA (tRNA) molecules are approximately 80 nucleotides in length. Their secondary structure includes four short double-helical elements and three loops (D, anti-codon, and T loops). Further hydrogen bonds mediate the characteristic L-shaped molecular structure. tRNAs have two regions of fundamental functional importance: the anti-codon, which is responsible for specific mRNA codon recognition, and the 3' end, to which the tRNAs corresponding amino acid is attached (by aminoacyl-tRNA synthetases). tRNAs cope with the degeneracy of the genetic code in two manners: having more than one tRNA (with a specific anti-codon) for a particular amino acid; and 'wobble' base-pairing, i.e. permitting non-standard base-pairing at the 3rd anti-codon position. The record is from RNAcentral. Lineage: Bacteria; Pseudomonadati; Candidatus Tectimicrobiota; Candidatus Entotheonellia; Candidatus Entotheonellales; Candidatus Entotheonellaceae.
GGACUGGUAGCUGAGACGGUGUAGCACCUGUCUGAAGAGCAGGGGACGAGGAUUCGAGCGCCUCCCAGUCCACUA